RNAcentral lists this ribosomal RNA (522 nucleotides) under uncultured fungus. RNAcentral's name for it is "eukaryotic LSU rRNA". The stretch from base 173 to 326 matches the Rfam family "5.8S ribosomal RNA". Lineage: Eukaryota; Fungi. The record is from RNAcentral.
UCCGUAGGUGAACCUGCGGAAGGAUCAUUAUCGUAGGGCUUCGGCCCUGUCGAGAUAGAACCCUUGCCUUUUUGAGUACCUUUCGUUUCCUCGGCAGGCUCGCCUGCCAAUGGGGACCCCAAAAAACACUUUGCAGUACCUGUAAUAGUCUGAACAAACAAACAAAAAUUAAAACUUUCAACAACGGAUCUCUUGGUUCUGGCAUCGAUGAAGAACGCAGCGAAAUGCGAUAAGUAAUGUGAAUUGCAGAAUUCAGUGAAUCAUCGAAUCUUUGAACGCACAUUGCGCCCGCUAGUACUCUAGCGGGCAUGCCUGUUCGAGCGUCAUUUCAACCCUCAAGCCCUGCUUGGUGUUGGGGCCCUACGGCUGCCGUAGGCCCUGAAAAGAAGUGGCGGGCUCGCUACAACUCCGAGCGUAGUAAUCUUUUAUCUCGCUAGGGAAGUGUGGCGUGCUCCUGCCGUUAAAGACCCCAUCUUUAACAAGGUUGACCUCGGAUCAGGUAGGAAUACCCGCUGAACUUAA